GGAGUGGCGGAAUGGUAGACGCACAGGACUUAAAAUCCUGUGUCCGUUAAGGACGUGAGGGUUCAAGUCCCUCUUCCAG
RNAcentral lists this transfer RNA (79 nucleotides) under Candidatus Ureaplasma intestinipullorum. It matches the Rfam family "tRNA". Rfam says of the family: Transfer RNA (tRNA) molecules are approximately 80 nucleotides in length. Their secondary structure includes four short double-helical elements and three loops (D, anti-codon, and T loops). The record is from RNAcentral. Lineage: Bacteria; Bacillati; Mycoplasmatota; Mycoplasmoidales; Mycoplasmoidaceae.